CCCCCCAGCCCCUCCUCUUUUCCACGAAGUGACAGAAGUUAUGAAGAUAUGCUUUAAGUGGCUGAUUUGCCCAACUCCCUUAUUUUGCAGAACGUCCUGCCAUAUUUGAAACUUACACUAUAAAAUCUUAUAGAAAGACAGUUCCUGAGUGUUAGCCUAAUAAAGCCACAUUUUUAUCUCUUAUGGGUUUUAGUUGCUAUUGGACGUUUCCUUCCUGGCCUCUAAGGACAUGUGAAGAAUAUCAGAGGAAGUCCUCAUCAGCUGAUGUUCAGAGAGGUUCCUACUUCCUCAGCUUCCUUCACACGGCUCCUUCUCAAGACAGCAUCAUUAAUCUACAUUGUCCCUUUCUUAUCAUGACUCUGCCAGUUUCUUAUCAUGUUUCUGCUGCCUGUCCUGCUGCCAGAGUAUCUUCAAACCUGUCAGCACUUUCUUGUAGAGAUAGUUCAUCUCAUAAUGAUGCGCUCUGUGGAGAGUGCUUCAUAUCAGGGUCGCUAUAUGUGGUGGUGGAAGAGCUCCAUGAAGAGAGAUGUAAGCAAUGCUUUUGUGACAAGCAGAGAGUCCGUGGGUCAGAACACUCAUUUGGCUGACCAGUUAGCUACCUGCAUGCAGCACAACUCACACCCAGACUACAACUGCGGGGGACCUUGUACGUGUGCAGCAUGGAGGUGUCAUCAGAUGGCACAGGUCCGGACACGCUGCUUCUCCCAGAAGACAGGAGGGACCGCCUGGGCGUAUUUGGACAACCAGCCGUGCUGCUAUCUCGCCAGUCCCGGUGCAGGGAGAUGCUCCGGAGCGCAUUGCGCUGUGUGA
RNAcentral lists this long non-coding RNA (810 nucleotides) under Anser cygnoides (Swan goose). Its description in RNAcentral is "lncRNA (ENSACDG00005002977.1)". The record is from RNAcentral. Lineage: Eukaryota; Metazoa; Chordata; Aves; Anseriformes; Anatidae.